This 937-nucleotide ribosomal RNA is filed under the name Gilliamella sp. Nev6-6. RNAcentral describes it as "bacterial SSU rRNA". It matches the Rfam family "Bacterial small subunit ribosomal RNA", at positions 597 to 1533 of the family's 1533-position model. Lineage: Bacteria; Pseudomonadati; Pseudomonadota; Gammaproteobacteria; Orbales; Orbaceae. The record is from RNAcentral.
AAAGCCCUGGGCUCAACCUAGGAAUUGCACUUAAAACUGGUUAACUAGAGUAUUGUAGAGGAAGGUAGAAUUCCACGUGUAGCGGUGAAAUGCGUAGAGAUGUGGAGGAAUACCGGUGGCGAAGGCGGCCUUCUGGACAGAUACUGACGCUGAGAUGCGAAAGCGUGGGGAGCAAACAGGAUUAGAUACCCUGGUAGUCCACGCUGUAAACGAUGUCGAUUUGGAGUUUGUUGCCUAGAGUGAUGGGCUCCGAAGCUAACGCGAUAAAUCGACCGCCUGGGGAGUACGGCCGCAAGGUUAAAACUCAAAUGAAUUGACGGGGGCCCGCACAAGCGGUGGAGCAUGUGGUUUAAUUCGAUGCAACGCGAAGAACCUUACCUGGUCUUGACAUCCACAGAAUCCUGUAGAGAUAUGGGAGUGCCUUCGGGAACUGUGAGACAGGUGCUGCAUGGCUGUCGUCAGCUCGUGUUGUGAAAUGUUGGGUUAAGUCCCGCAACGAGCGCAACCCUUAUCCUUUGUUGCCAUCGGUUCGGCCGGGAACUCAAAGGAGACUGCCGUUGAUAAAGCGGAGGAAGGUGGGGACGACGUCAAGUCAUCAUGGCCCUUACGACCAGGGCUACACACGUGCUACAAUGGCGUAUACAAAGGGAGGCGACCUCGCGAGAGCAAGCGGACCUCAUAAAGUACGUCUAAGUCCGGAUUGGAGUCUGCAACUCGACUCCAUGAAGUCGGAAUCGCUAGUAAUCGUGAAUCAGAAUGUCACGGUGAAUACGUUCCCGGGCCUUGUACACACCGCCCGUCACACCAUGGGAGUGGGUUGCACCAGAAGUAGAUAGCUUAACCUUCGGGAGGGCGUUUACCACGGUGUGGUUCAUGACUGGGGUGAAGUCGUAACAAGGUAACCGUAGGGGAACCUGCGGUUGGAUCACCUCCUUAC